This 521-nucleotide long non-coding RNA is filed under the name Bos taurus (domestic cattle). RNAcentral's name for it is "long non-coding RNA NONBTAT009590". Lineage: Eukaryota; Metazoa; Chordata; Mammalia; Artiodactyla; Bovidae. The record is from RNAcentral.
AGAUUAAACAAUAAGACCUUUAUUGCUGCACAAACCAGAGAAAUAGGGGGCAAUUCCAAACUGGUGACCUGGAGGCAGGAAAACCAACCACAAAUAUCAAGUGAAACCAACGAAUUCGAAGGUCAAAUUCAUACUUAAUCAAUUGAAAUAGGAAAAUGUAAGGGCACAUACUACUCAAGAUUUCCUCCAGGGAACAUUAGGGCACACCGACAUCACCCUUGUGUCAGCAAAUCAGAGUGACUAAUGAAAUACUGUACAAGGAAGAGGUGAGAUGGGUUCUACCAAGAAACUGGCAGUGAUGUAACUCUGAUGACGGCCCUGGGGAGUUUAGAACAUGGAAUGUAGCUCCUGUAAGCCUCACAGACACCUGGAACUCAUUGAGAAUUUUAAGUCAUUAGAUGUUUGCAAGUAUGAGGUUCAAUUUCAGGCAAAUGGCUCCCUUACAAAAGCUGUCUAGUGCUGUUAUAAUGAAAAAGGAGGGAGCACAUUCUUCAGCUCUAAGAUCUUUCUCAAAGUGUGGA